Molecule: ribosomal RNA, 460 nt
Filed under: uncultured bacterium
Lineage: Bacteria
Description: partial 16S ribosomal RNA
Rfam family: Bacterial small subunit ribosomal RNA
Source: RNAcentral
CCUACGGGUGGCAGCAGUGAGGAAUCUUGGUCAAUGGGCGCGAGCCUGAACCAGCCAAGUAGCGUGAAGGAUUACUGCCCUACGGGUUGUAAACUUCUUUUAUAAAGGAAUAAAGUGAGGCACGUGUGCCUCUUUGUAUGUACUUUAUGAAUAAGGAUCGGCUAACUCCGUGCCAGCAGCCGCGGUAAUACGGAGGAUCCGAGCGUUAUCCGGAUUUAUUGGGUGUAAAGUGAGCGUAGAUGGGUUGGUAAGUCAGUUGUGAAAGUUUGCGGCUCAACCGGAAAAUUGCAAUUGAUACUGGCAGCCUUGAGUACAGUUGAGGUAGGCGGAAUUCGUGGUGUAGCGGUGAAAUGCUUAGAUAUCACGAAGAACUCCGAUUGCGAAGGCAGCUUACUAAACUGCCACUGACAUUGAUGUUCGAAAGUGUGGGUAUCAAACAGGAUUAGAUACCCGUGUAGUC